ACAUGUCCUAUUGAUAAUAAUUUUAGGUCGAUCUGCUCAAUGAAAUAUUUUUAAUAGCUGCAGUAUAUUGACUGUACAAAGGUAGCAUAAUAAAUUGUCUUUUAAUUGAAGAAUUGAAUGAACGAAUUAAUGAAAUAAUAACUGUCUCUGAAUUAUUAAAUGAAUUUAAAUUUUUAGUUAAAAUUCUAAAAUUUAAUUAUGGGACGAUAAGACCCUAUAGAAUUUUAUUUAAUAUUUUAUUUAUUAAAUAAUUAUUAAUUUGUAAAUAAGAUGUUAAAUUUGAUUGGGAGGAUUGAUAAAUUAUUAAACUUUAUUUAAUAUUUAAUUUUGAUUUAAAGAUAGAUAUUGAAUUAUAAUUUAUAAUUAAUAGAGUAAAUUACCUUAGGGAUAACAGCGUAAUAUCUUUUGAUAGACCAUAUAGAUAAAGAUGAUUGCGACCUCGAUGUUGAAUUAAGAUUAAAAUUAAACGCAGAAGUUUAAAUUUUGAGUCUGUUCGACUCUUAAAAUCUUACAUGAUUUGAGUUCAAAUCGACGUAAGU
This 539-nucleotide ribosomal RNA is filed under the name Apis dorsata (giant honeybee). Its description in RNAcentral is "partial 16S ribosomal RNA". The stretch from base 387 to 539 matches the Rfam family "Bacterial large subunit ribosomal RNA", at positions 2473 to 2626 of the family's 2925-position model. Lineage: Eukaryota; Metazoa; Arthropoda; Insecta; Hymenoptera; Apidae. The record is from RNAcentral.